RNAcentral lists this small RNA (98 nucleotides) under Cavia porcellus (domestic guinea pig). RNAcentral describes it as "Y RNA (ENSCPOG00000029044.2)". The record is from RNAcentral. Lineage: Eukaryota; Metazoa; Chordata; Mammalia; Rodentia; Caviidae.
AGUGUCUCAAAAAAUAAAAGUGGUAUCAGAACUUAUUAACAUUAGUGUCACUAAAGUUGGUAUAUCACCCCCCCACUGCUAAAUUUGACUGGCUUAAA